This 466-nucleotide ribosomal RNA is filed under the name uncultured bacterium. Its description in RNAcentral is "partial 16S ribosomal RNA". It matches the Rfam family "Bacterial small subunit ribosomal RNA", at positions 28 to 507 of the family's 1533-position model. The record is from RNAcentral.
GAUGAACGCUGGCGGCGUGCUUAACACAUGCAAGUCGAACGGAAAGGCCCAAGCUUGCUUGGGUACUCGAGUGGCGAACGGGUGAGUAACACGUGGGUGAUCUGCUCUGCACUUCGGGAUAAGCCUGGGAAACUGGGUCUAAUACCGGAUAGGACCACAUUUUGGAUGGUGUGGUGGAAAGUUUUUCGGUGUGGGAUGAGCUCGCGGCCUAUCAGCUUGUUGGUGGGGUAAUGGCCUACCAAGGCGUCGACGGGUAGCCGGCCUGAGAGGGUGUACGGCCACAUUGGGACUGAGAUACGGCCCAGACUCCUACGGGAGGCAGCGGUGGGGAAUAUUGCACAAUGGGCGCAAGCCUGAUGCAGCGACGCCGCGUGGGGGAUGACGGCCUUCGGGUUGUAAGCUCCUUUCGCUAGGGACGAAGCGUUAUGUGACGGUACCUGGAGAAGAAGCACCGGCUAACUACGUG